RNAcentral lists this ribosomal RNA (465 nucleotides) under uncultured bacterium. RNAcentral's name for it is "partial 16S ribosomal RNA". It matches the Rfam family "Bacterial small subunit ribosomal RNA", at positions 338 to 795 of the family's 1533-position model. The record is from RNAcentral.
CCUACGGGGUGCAGCAGUGGGGAAUAUUGCGCAAUGGGCGAAAGCCUGACGCAGCGACGCCGCGUGAGGGAUGAAGGUCUUCGGAUCGUAAACCUCUGUCAGCAGGGAAGAACGGUCACUGUGCUAAUCAGCAGUGAAUUGACGAUACCUGCAAAGGAAGCACCGGCUAACUCCGUGCCAGCAGCCGCGGUAAUACGGAGGGUGCGAGCGUUAAUCGGAAUUACUGGGCGUAAAGCGCUCGUAGGCGGUAUGUCAAGUCAAGGGUGAAAUCCCCGCGCUCAACGUGGGAACUGCCUUUGAAACUGGCAGACUGGAGUGUGUGAGAGGAUAGUGGAAUUCCAGGUGUAGGAGUGAAAUCCGUAGAUAUCUGGAGGAACAUCAGUGGCGAAGGCGACUAUCUGGCACAUAACUGACGCUGAGGAGCGAAAGCGUGGGUAGCAAACAGGAUUAGAUACCCUUGUAGUC